This 446-nucleotide ribosomal RNA is filed under the name uncultured soil bacterium. Its description in RNAcentral is "bacterial SSU rRNA". It matches the Rfam family "Bacterial small subunit ribosomal RNA", at positions 26 to 518 of the family's 1533-position model. The record is from RNAcentral.
AGGGCGAACGCUGGCGGCAGGCCUAACACAUGCAAGUCGAACGGACCCUUCGGGGUUAGUGGCGGACGGGUGAGUAACACGUGGGAACGUGCCUUUUGGUUCGGAAUAGCUCCUGGAAACGGGUGGUAAUGCCGAAUGUGCCCUUCGGGGGAAAGAUUUAUCGCCAUUAGAGCGGCCCGCGUCUGAUUAGCUAGUUGGUGAGGUAAUGGCUCACCAAGGCGACGAUCAGUAGCUGGUCUGAGAGGAUGACCAGCCACAUUGGGACUGAGACACGGCCCAAACUCCUACGGGAGGCAGCAGUGGGGAAUCUUGCGCAAUGGGCGAAAGCCUGACGCAGCCAUGCCGCGUGAAUGAUGAAGGUCUUAGGAUUGUAAAAUUCUUUCACCGGGGACGAUAAUGACGGUACCCGGAGAAGAAGCCCCGGCUAACUUCGCGUCAGCAGCCGC